GUCGUGAGAUGUUGGGUUAAGUCCCGCAACGAGCGCAACCCUCGUCCCUAGUUACCAGCGGGUAAAGCCGGGAACUCUAGGGAGACUGCCGGUGUCAAACCGGAGGAAGGUGGGGACGACGUCAAGUCAUCAUGGCCCUUACGUCCAGGGCUACACACGUGCUACAAUGGCCGGUACAGAGCGUUGCCAACUCGCGAGAGUGCGCUAAUCGCUAAAAGCCGGUCUAAGUUCGGAUUGGAGUCUGCAACUCGACUCCAUGAAGCCGGAAUCGCUAGUAAUCGCGGAUCAGCUACGCCGCGGUGAAUACGUUCCCGGGCCUUGUACACACCGCCCGUCACGCCAUGGAAGCUGGGGGGACCUGAAGCCGGUGGGCUAACUCGCAAGAGGGGCAGCCGCCAAAGGUCAAUUCAGUGACUGGGGCGAAGUCGUAACAAGGUAGCCGUAGGGGAACCUGCGGCUGGAUCACCUCCUUUCUGGAAUACCGAGUAAGGCGAAUCUUCGGAUUCGUGACGAAAGGUUUCUGGUGUCGCCCGCGCUGUGGACGGCUCUCUCCCAAUUCUUCACUUUCAGCUCUUUGACAAUUGAGGGAUGGAUGGUGUGUCCGGGCUUUCGAGCUCGGACGGGUGUGAGGAAUCAAUACCGGUUGUGCCGGCCCGAUCGCAGGGCCGGACACGACAGCGAAUUUGAGAUCAAACGCAAUAAGGCACACGGCGGAUGCCUUGGCAUCGAGAGGCGAUGAAGGGCGUGAUAAGCUGCGAUAAGCCUGGGGGAGCUGCACAUGAGCCGUGAUCCCAGGAUGC
Molecule: small RNA, 800 nt
Filed under: uncultured Gemmatimonas sp.
Lineage: Bacteria; Pseudomonadati; Gemmatimonadota; Gemmatimonadia; Gemmatimonadales; Gemmatimonadaceae
Description: bacterial SSU rRNA
Rfam family: Bacterial small subunit ribosomal RNA (bases 1-473)
Source: RNAcentral